Molecule: transfer RNA, 77 nt
Filed under: Alphaproteobacteria bacterium
Lineage: Bacteria; Pseudomonadati; Pseudomonadota; Alphaproteobacteria
Description: tRNA-Pro
Rfam family: tRNA
About the family: Transfer RNA (tRNA) molecules are approximately 80 nucleotides in length. Their secondary structure includes four short double-helical elements and three loops (D, anti-codon, and T loops).
Source: RNAcentral
CGGGGCAUGGCUUAGUCUGGUAGAGCGCUCGCUUUGGGAGCGAGAGAUCGCAGGUUCGAAUCCUGCUGCCCCGACCA